This 324-nucleotide RNase P RNA is filed under the name bovine gut metagenome. Its description in RNAcentral is "Bacterial RNase P class A". It matches the Rfam family "Bacterial RNase P class A". From Rfam's summary of the family: Ribonuclease P (RNase P) is a ubiquitous endoribonuclease, found in archaea, bacteria and eukarya as well as chloroplasts and mitochondria. Its best characterised activity is the generation of mature 5'-ends of tRNAs by cleaving the 5'-leader elements of precursor-tRNAs. The record is from RNAcentral.
UAUACGGUUGCGUUCGUAAAAACGAAUGAGGAAAGUCCGAGCAUCACAGAGCAGGAUAACGGCUAACGGCCGCCGUAGGUGACUACCGGGAUAGUGCAACAGAAAUAAACCGCCUGUUUUUCAGGUAAGGGUGGAAAGGUGGGGUAAGAGCCCACCGACACGGUGGUAACAUCGUGUGCCAUGUAAACCCUAUCCGAUGCAACAUUGACAAAAGGGCUAUGCAUUUGCUCGAUGCUACCUUUGAAAAAUGGCUGGAGGCAAUUGGUAACAAUUGUCCAAGAUAGAUAACCGUACACGACAGAACUCGGCUUAUAGAUUUACUCG